RNAcentral lists this long non-coding RNA (662 nucleotides) under Homo sapiens (human). RNAcentral's name for it is "non-protein coding lnc-DLGAP3-2:5". Lineage: Eukaryota; Metazoa; Chordata; Mammalia; Primates; Hominidae. The record is from RNAcentral.
AGAGAAAAAAAUGAACUAUAUCCCUACCUUACAUCAUCCGUAUAAAUUAAUUGGGGAUGGAGCAUAGACGUAUGUGUAAAAGGAUAAAGCUUUCAAAACAAACCAUGGGAGAAUAUCUUCAUAACCUUCAGGUAGGCAAAGAUUUCUUUUUCUUUUUCUUUUUUUCUUGAGACGGAGUUUUGCUCUCCGGGCCACCAUGCCCGGCUAGUUUUGUAUUUUUUAGUAGAGACGGGGUUUCUCCAUGUUGGUCAGGCUGGUCUCAAACUCCUGACCUCAGGUGAUCUGCCCACCUUGGCCUCCAAAAGUGCUGGGAUUACAGGCGUGAGCCACCGCGCCUGGCGAGGCAAAGACUUUUUAAACAGGGCAUAAGAAUAACUGAAAGAAAGACUAGUAAUUGACUUCAUUAAAAUAAAAAACUUCUCCUCAACCAGUCACAAACUUACAGCAAUGACAAAUGAUUAACUGGAUGCAAUAACAUGGGUGAACCUCUCAUCUCCAGAUUACUUAUAAUAUCUAAUGCAAGGUAAAUGUUAUAUAAAUAAUUGUUAUAUUGUAUUGUUUAGGUAAUAAACACACUCUAACACUCGCUCUGUUUUCCCCACAAUCCGCAGCAUGCAGCCUGCUGUGUCCACCUCACAUACGCACUGGACCUUGUCCUCACU